Molecule: non-coding RNA, 687 nt
Organism: Ictidomys tridecemlineatus (thirteen-lined ground squirrel)
Lineage: Eukaryota; Metazoa; Chordata; Mammalia; Rodentia; Sciuridae
Source: RefSeq, a predicted model, not a curated record
GCCGGUGUCUGUGCAUAUGGAUGGCUUUGGACUCACGGACUCGAUGCAGACAGUGUUAGCACUUUAAUUAACUGAGGAGUCCUGUUUGAGUAACCCUUAGGCUCCUGAGCUUCAGGCUGUCAACACAUCCAGUCUGUAAAACAAAAUAUUCUUGGGUUUUUCCAAGUGUCUAUCAACUGUGCUGCCCAGACUUUUCCAAGUAAAGCUUCUCCCCCAGUGAGUAUUGUUGCAGAGACAAUUCUAAGUGAGAAGAGGGGACUUAAAUUUAGGCAGCACAGUAGGAUACAGUGCUUUUUUUCAAAUCUGGAGUUGUGAAAUCAAUUGAAUACAGCAUGAUCAGCCCAGAAUGGAACAGAACAGACUGGAAAAGAAUAGAAAGCAUCAUGUGGCACGUCAUAAGAAUGUAGUAUGGUACAUUGUAACACUCAACAAAUAUUGUUCAACUUGAAUGCAUUAAUGGAUGAAUGAAUAAACCAGGAUACUCUUGGUUCUUCUCUCACAGGGCAAGCAGGAAGUUCUGGGAAGAUAAACUUCUGGAAGCAGCCAACAGACAAUGAUAGAUGAGCAGCUGGUGGGUCAAUACCUCUGCUGUCCCCCUCCUUGGCUGAGAAUCAUCUUACCAAGAUCCACCAAAAAGAAACCAAAACUGAAGAACAGAAAACUGUUGUAAUUUUGGUUGGAAUUUUU